AACAAACGCUGGCGGCAUGCCUAACACAUGCAAGUCGAACGAGACCUUCGGGUCUAGUGGCGCACGGGUGCGUAACGCGUGGGAACCUGCCCUUAGGUUCGGAAUAACUCCCCGAAAGGGGUGCUAAUACCGGAUAAUGUCUUCGGACCAAAGAUUUAUCGCCUUUGGAUGGGCCCGCGUUGGAUUAGCUAGUUGGUAGGGUAAAAGCCUACCAAGGCGACGAUCCAUAGCUGGUCUGAGAGGAUGAUCAGCCACACUGGGACUGAGACACGGCCCAGACUCCUACGGGAGGCAGCAGUGGGGAAUAUUGGACAAUGGGCGAAAGCCUGAUCCAGCAAUGCCGCGUGAGUGAUGAAGGCCUUAGGGUUGUAAAGCUCUUUUACCCGGGAUGAUAAUGACAGUACCGGGAGAAUAAGCCCCGGCUAACUCCGUG
Molecule: ribosomal RNA, 433 nt
Filed under: uncultured bacterium
Lineage: Bacteria
Description: partial 16S ribosomal RNA
Rfam family: Bacterial small subunit ribosomal RNA
Source: RNAcentral